This 860-nucleotide ribosomal RNA is filed under the name uncultured Eubacteriales bacterium. RNAcentral describes it as "bacterial SSU rRNA". It matches the Rfam family "Bacterial small subunit ribosomal RNA", at positions 61 to 925 of the family's 1533-position model. The record is from RNAcentral. Lineage: Bacteria; Bacillati; Bacillota; Clostridia; Eubacteriales.
GUCGAGCGGAGUUUUGUGCGGAAGAUUUCGGUUGGAAGUAUAGAACUUAGCGGCGGACGGGUGAGGAACGCGUGGGUAACCUGCCCUGUACAGGGGGAUAACACAGAGAAAUCUGUGCUAAAACCGCAUAAGCUCACGGGACCGCAUGGUCUUGGGAGAAAAACUCCGGUGGUACAGGAUGGGCCCGCGUCUGAUUAGCUAGUUGGAGAGGUAAGAGCUCACCAAGGCGACGAUCAGUAGCCGGUCUGAGAGGAUGGACGGCCACAUUGGGACUGAGACACGGCCCAAACUCCUACGGGAGGCAGCAGUGGGGAAUAUUGCACAAUGGGGGAAACCCUGAUGCAGCGAUGCCGCGUGAAGGAAGAAGAUUUUCGGAUUGUAAACUUCUAUCAGCAAGGAAGAAAACGGACAGUACUUGAGUAAGAAGCCCCGGCUAACUACGUGCCAGCAGCCGCGGUAAUACGUAGGGGGCGAGCGUUAUCCGGAAUUACUGGGUGUAAAGGGUGCGUAGGCGGUACGGCAAGUUUGAUGUGAAACCCGCGGGCUUAACCCGAGGCAUGCAUCGAAAACUACUGAACUAGAGUGCAGGAGAGGGAAGCGGAAUUCCUAGUGUAGCGGUGAAAUGCGUAGAUAUUAGGAAGAACACCAGUGGCGAAGGCGGCUUUCUGGACUGCAACUGACGCUGAGGCACGAAAGCGUGGGGAGCAAACAGGAUUAGAUACCCUGGUAGUCCACGCCGUAACGAUGAAUGCUAGGUGUUGGGUUCUGAAGGACUCGGUGCCGCAUUUAACGCAAUAAGCAUUCCACCUGGGGAGUACGACCGCAAGGUUGAAACUCAAAGGAAUUGACGGGGGCCCGCA